Clostridium sp. CAG:253 is the source of this 182-nucleotide non-coding RNA. The record is from Rfam. Lineage: Bacteria; Bacillati; Bacillota; Clostridia; Eubacteriales; Clostridiaceae.
ACAUGCCUGGGGUGUUCGAUACUCCUGAUAUUUUGAACCUACACUUUUGAAUUGGGAUUCCUAUAUUUAUGUAAGGAUGCCAAGCCGCCACCUAUAGCAGCGGAAGGCAGAAUUACAUGUGCGGUUGCCCACCUAGCGCUUGCUAGGACUCAAAAUUCGGGACACGGCACUUUGGGUAUGCU